Molecule: ribosomal RNA, 303 nt
Filed under: uncultured bacterium
Lineage: Bacteria
Description: partial 16S ribosomal RNA
Rfam family: Bacterial small subunit ribosomal RNA
Source: RNAcentral
AGCAGUAGCCACGGUAAUACGAAGGGGGCUAGCGUUGCUCGGAAUCACUGGGCGUAAAAGGUGCGUAGGCGGGUCUUUAAGUCAGGGGUGAAAUCCUGGAGCUCAACUCCAGAACUGCCUUUGAUACUGAAGAUCUUGAGUUCGGGAGAGGUGAGUGGAACUGCGAGUGUAGAGGUGAAAUUCGUAGAUAUUCGCAAGAACACCAGUGGCGAAGGCGGCUCACUGGCCCGAUACUGACGCUGAGGCACGAAAGCGUGGGGAGCAAACAGGAUUAGAUACCCCCGUAGUCCCUGUCUCUUAUAC